Molecule: ribosomal RNA, 348 nt
Filed under: uncultured fungus
Lineage: Eukaryota; Fungi
Description: eukaryotic LSU rRNA
Rfam family: 5.8S ribosomal RNA (bases 1-104)
Source: RNAcentral
AAGGGCGAUAUGUAAUGUGAAUUGCAGAUCUCAGUGAAUCAUCGAAUCUUUGAACGCACCUUGCACCCUUUGGUACUCCGAAGGGUAUGCCUGUUUGAGUGUCAUUAUCAUCCUCAACUGGAAUAUUUGUUUAUUCCAGCUUGGACUUUGGAGGUCUUGCUGGCUGCAAAGUCAGCUCCUCUUAAAAUGCAUUAGCGGUACAAGCAGAAUCGGCUUCGGUUUGAUAGAAAUAUCUAUGCUGUCGCUGAGAAACAAUAUGUGCAGCUUCCAAUUGUCUUCGGACUGUCUUUCACAAGGCAUAUAUUGACUCUUGACCUCAAAUCAGGUAGGACUACCCGCUGAACUUAA